RNAcentral lists this unclassified non-coding RNA (266 nucleotides) under Neurospora terricola. RNAcentral describes it as "partial internal transcribed spacer region". The stretch from base 1 to 46 matches the Rfam family "Eukaryotic small subunit ribosomal RNA", at positions 1786 to 1831 of the family's 1831-position model. The record is from RNAcentral. Lineage: Eukaryota; Fungi; Ascomycota; Sordariomycetes; Sordariales; Sordariaceae.
AAGUCGUAACAAGGUCUCCGUUGGUGAACCAGCGGAGGGAUCAUUACAGAGUUGCAAAACUCCCACAAACCAUCGCGAAUCUUACCCGUACGGUUGCCUCGGCGCUGGCGGUCCGGAAAGGCCCUCGCGCCCUCCCGGAUCCUCGGGUCUCCCGCUCGCGGGAGGCUGCCCGCCGGAGUGCCGAAACUAAACUCUUGAUAUUUUAUGUCUCUCUGAGUAAACUUUUAAAUAAGUCAAAACUUUCAACAACGGAUCUCUUGGUUCUG